CUUUACUGUAGCCUGGAAUUGGGUUCGGGCUUUGACUGCGCAGUAUAGGUGGGAGGCUAUGAAGAUUUCCUUCCGGGGAAGUUGGAGCCAUCAGUGAGAGACCACUCUGGAGAGGCUAGAAUCCUAAUGGUGAUCCUUGAAUCAGGACACUCGACAGUUUCAGGUGGGCAGUUUUUCUGGGGCGGAAGCCUCAUAAAGGGUAACUGAGGCGCGCAAAGGUCCCCUCAGUCUGGACGGAAAUCAGACAACGAGUGUAAAGGCAAAAGGGGGCUUUACUGCAAGACCUACAAGUCGAGCAGGAGCGAAAGCUGGCCUUAGUGAUCCGACGGUACCGUGUGGAAGGGCCGUCGCUCAACGAAUAAAAGUUA
This 368-nucleotide ribosomal RNA is filed under the name uncultured organism. Its description in RNAcentral is "bacterial LSU rRNA". It matches the Rfam family "Bacterial large subunit ribosomal RNA", at positions 2099 to 2465 of the family's 2925-position model. The record is from RNAcentral.